UUUCCGUAGGUGAACCUGCGGAAGGAUCAUUAUUGAAAUAAACCUGACGGGUUGCUGCUGGCUCUCCAGGGAGCAAUGUGCACACCUUGUCAUCUUUAUAUCUCCACCUGUGCACUUUUUGUAGACCUUUUCAGGUCUAUGUUGCUUCAUUUUACCCCUAUUGUAUGUCAAUAGAAUGUUGUGCCUUUAUAAUAUAUACAACUUUCAGCAACGGAUCUCUUGGCUCUC
Molecule: unclassified non-coding RNA, 228 nt
Filed under: plant metagenome
Description: partial contains small subunit ribosomal RNA, internal transcribed spacer 1, and 5.8S ribosomal RNA
Source: RNAcentral